RNAcentral lists this ribosomal RNA (484 nucleotides) under uncultured bacterium. RNAcentral's name for it is "partial 16S ribosomal RNA". It matches the Rfam family "Bacterial small subunit ribosomal RNA", at positions 28 to 523 of the family's 1533-position model. The record is from RNAcentral.
GACGAACGCUGGCGGCGUGCUUAACACAUGCAAGUCGAACGGAAAGGCCCUGCUUUUGUGGGGUGCUCGAGUGGCGAACGGGUGAGUAACACGUGAGUAACCUGCCCUUGACUUUGGGAUAACUUCAGGAAACUGGGGCUAAUACCGGAUAGGAGCUCCUGCUGCAUGGUGGGGGUUGGAAAGUUUCGGCGGGUGGGGAUGGACUCGCGGCUUAUCAGCUUGUUGGUGGGGUAGGGGCGUACCAAGGCUUUGACGGGUAGCCGGCCUGAGAGGGUGACCGGCCACAUUGGGCAUGAGAUACGGCCCAGACUCCUACGGGAGGCAGCAGUGGAGAAUAUUGCACAAUGGGCGGAAACCUGAUGCAGCAACGCCGCGUGCGGGAUGACGGCCUUCGGGUUGUAAACCGCUUUCGCCUGUGACGAAGCGUGAGUGACGGUAAUGGGUAAAGAAGCACCGGCUAACUACGUGCCAGCAGCCGCCGUAA